UACGUAGGUGGCAAGCGUUGUCCGGAUUUACUGGGUGUAAAGGGCGUGUAGGCGGGGAAACAGGUCAGAUGUGAAAUCCCGAGGCUUAACCUCGGAACUGCAUUUGAAACCGUUUCUCUUGAGUGAUGGAGAGGUAAGUGGAAUUCCUAGUGUAGCGGUGAAAUGCGUAGAUAUUAGGAGGAACACCAGUGGCGAAGGCGACUUACUGGACAUUAACUGACGCUGAGGCGCGAAAGCGUGGGGAGCAAACAGG
Molecule: ribosomal RNA, 253 nt
Filed under: uncultured bacterium
Lineage: Bacteria
Description: partial 16S ribosomal RNA
Rfam family: Bacterial small subunit ribosomal RNA
Source: RNAcentral